GGAGGUAAGCAGUGUUUGUUAGCAUUUCCAGGUUUGCUGCCCCAAAGACUGUGUCUCCAGGUUUUUGGAAGUGCUUGCAAAUACCAGGUUGUACAAUGUCAUGCAAAGAGAGGGUGCUGGAGAUGAUUCGGACAGUUGGAAACAUUUUACUACUUAUUAUCUGUUAUUUCCUUCUUCUGGUAAUUCUUUAAAGAAAUGCGGUUUAAUCUUUGAAGUUUCCUCUAUAAAUUGUUAAACGCUCUCCAUCUUUUUGAAGCCCGAAGUGCAGGCAUAAUUUUGCAUGCAUGUGUGUGUUUACUUUUCACACUUCACAGCUCAGUGUUCUUACAAACCAUCAUUAACAUACAAGGUCAUGCUCAGUCUCCAGAAGCCUUUUCCAGAUGGUGUGAAAGUGCAAACAGCCUUUGCUACCUUGCAGGGAAAUACAUUGCAGGAAUGAGGCCCCCUCCUCUCGGAUCACCUUCAACUGAAAACGUGGUACGAGAAACUUUAGCAUCUGAGCAAGCAAUAAUCACUGGAGGAUCACCCGGCAAGUGUGACGGAGACACACCAGCAUGCAUGUGUUGCAUGUGACGGUCAGCGAUGCAGAAGUGGCUCUCGGCACCUUUGACAAGCUCCCUGCUGCCAGGGGUGGCCGGUGGCACUUGCCCCUGGUGCAAGUCAGAGCAGCCUGGGCCCACUGUAGCUUGUAGCAGCUAACUUGGGAAAGGCAGAUGUUUAACACUCAGAUACUGUUCUCUCGAAUGGGGUUCAUCUGGUCCCUGCUGAAGUCAAGGGGAUUCUGGUCAAUUUGCAAAAACGUGAGGUUAAAAUCACAGGAGGAGCUUACAUUGUGGCAUAUGCUUUACUGAUUACAGGAAGUUGAGCCUGCAAAAUUCAUUAUCUAAUCAGGGAAGGAUAUUUGCAGCAAAGGUAAGAAAACUAGGAUGAAGGGAUAGAUACCAGGUUAGUUUUAAAUUGAUCUCACUGCAAGAAGAUUAAAUUGAUUGGGAAGUUCAGAGAACAAAUCUGAACCUACUUAUUAAUACACUUCCA
Molecule: long non-coding RNA, 1035 nt
Organism: Harpia harpyja (harpy eagle)
Lineage: Eukaryota; Metazoa; Chordata; Aves; Accipitriformes; Accipitridae
Exons: 3
Source: RefSeq, a predicted model, not a curated record